RNAcentral lists this ribosomal RNA (857 nucleotides) under Pediococcus acidilactici. RNAcentral's name for it is "bacterial SSU rRNA". It matches the Rfam family "Bacterial small subunit ribosomal RNA", at positions 501 to 1357 of the family's 1533-position model. RNAcentral also lists the same sequence under 1 other name. Lineage: Bacteria; Bacillati; Bacillota; Bacilli; Lactobacillales; Lactobacillaceae. The record is from RNAcentral.
UUUAGUGCCGCGGGGGACGCGGUAAUACGUAGGUGGCUAGCGUUAUCGGGAUUUAUUGGGCGUAAAGCGAGCGCAGGCGGUCUUUUAAGUCUAAUGUGAAAGCUUUCGGCUCAACCGAAGAAGUGCAUUGGAAACUGGGAGACUUGAGUGCAGAAGAGGACAGUGGAACUCCAUGUGUAGCGGUGAAAUGCGUAGAUAUAUGGAAGAACACCAGUGGCGAAGGCGGCUGUCUGGUCUGUAACUGACGCUGAGGCUCGAAAGCAUGGGUAGCGAACAGGAUUAGAUACCCUGGUAGUCCAUGCCGUAAACGAUGAUUACUAAGUGUUGGAGGGUUUCCGCCCUUCAGUGCUGCAGCUAACGCAUUAAGUAAUCCGCCUGGGGAGUACGACCGCAAGGUUGAAACUCAAAAGAAUUGACGGGGGCCCGCACAAGCGGUGGAGCAUGUGGUUUAAUUCGAAGCUACGCGAAGAACCUUACCAGGUCUUGACAUCUUCUGCCAACCUAAGAGAUUAGGCGUUCCCUUCGGGGACAGAAUGACAGGUGGUGCAUGGUUGUCGUCAGCUCGUGUCGUGAGAUGUUGGGUUAAGUCCCGCAACGAGCGCAACCCUUAUUACUAGUUGCCAGCAUUCAGUUGGGCACUCUAGUGAGACUGCCGGUGACAAACCGGAGGAAGGUGGGGACGACGUCAAAUCAUCAUGCCCCUUAUGACCUGGGCUACACACGUGCUACAAUGGAUGGUACAACGAGUCGCGAAACCGCGAGGUUUAGCUAAUCUCUUAAAACCAUUCUCAGUUCGGACUGUAGGCUGCAACUCGCCUACACGAAGUCGGAAUCGCUAGUAAUCGCGAUCAUUGUCC